CAUCAUAAUGCCCCACCCAGCUUCCGGCACCUUUCGCCACUCCGGCACAAACCGACACAGCUUUGCGAUCUCGCCAGCAUGCAGAGUCUGAUGUCUUCCCUAUAGAUGAUUCCAGAGACUCUGUGAAGCCACUAUUACAAGGUGAGACGCUUUGCGUUGAUUGGUGCUGCUGGACCACACUGGAGGUGCGAGUCCGCCGUGUAAUGGUUUAUGCCAUUACAAAGGAGCUGGCCUCUGUACUCAACUGGGCAGGGGGAAAAAAACAAGGACCAGACAAAGCAAAAAAGGGCAUUUAAAGAGACAGCGCCGUGCAGAUGCAUAUUUGAUGGCCUGGCGCAGCAGGUAGGGGCGAACUCUAUGUCUGAGUUGGUCUUUGCUCAAGCAGUCCAGAAAUGGCUCAGAUAUGCUCCAGGUCGUACGGGUGGCGCGCAGGACGCCCAUCAUCCAUCCCCAUCCCGGAGUAAAUAAUAAAAAGUGACGUGAAACAUAGAAAUGUAAAUAGGAAACUUUGUCUUUUAAUAAAGUAUUUUGCAAAUGA
Pelmatolapia mariae (spotted tilapia) is the source of this 538-nucleotide long non-coding RNA. RefSeq lists it as uncharacterized. NCBI's taxonomy places the organism in Eukaryota, Metazoa, Chordata, Actinopteri, Cichliformes, Cichlidae. The record is from RefSeq and is a predicted model, not a curated record. The transcript has 4 exons.